CUCUAGUUACUACUGUGAAUCCAAGUGUGAGUUAGGCUCAGUGCCUGCUACAUUAUCUGUUGGGAUAAACUAAAGAGAACCAGACAUAUUGCCCUGCAUAUCCAUGGGCACCUACAGCAGAUGCAUGAACAAGUACUGUAGGAGCUCCCGGGAGAGCGCUGCCAUCCUCUGCUUUGUGGGUGGGCAGGAGGCACAGCUGUGAGCAUUUGCCAGCAGAGGCAUGGAUAGAGCCCCCAGCUGUUCAUGUUCCUGCUUAUGAUUGGGGCCAAGGGAAGACCUUUGGGAUUUCCUUCUGGCACAAGGAAGAUUAAAUUUACUGUCCCCUUAUGGUUGGACGAGAACAUGUGACUACUUUUGGUUAAUGAGUUGUGAGAAGAAUUGUUUUAUGUCACUUCCAGGACAAAGAAUUUAAUUACCAAAGAGUCUCAACAGUACACUCUUUACAUGCUAUGGUGCCUGUCAACAUUGAAG
This 471-nucleotide long non-coding RNA is filed under the name Heterocephalus glaber (naked mole-rat). Its description in RNAcentral is "lncRNA (ENSHGLG00000046134.1)". The record is from RNAcentral. Lineage: Eukaryota; Metazoa; Chordata; Mammalia; Rodentia; Bathyergidae.